GUCUACGGAUCAGGAGGAGAAAGUGAGAUACUGGCCUCAUAAAGCUGUGAGUGGGCAUGGUGGCUCACACUGCCUGUGGUCCCAGAACUUAGAAGGCUAAGGCAUGAAGUUGUCAAGUUCAAUGCUAACCUGGGCUACGUUCAUGACCCCAUCUCAAAAAAAAAAAAAAAAAAAAAAAAGGCAUCUCAAUGCCAAGUCAACAGAGCAGUGGUUUGUAAGCGCCUGAUGGGAAGGAUCUACGUAUCUUUAGGGCUUGCUGAGGAGUGUGACUGUCACUGACCGAGGAGGCUGCCUUGAUGGACUUGACGGCAGCUUCAAAUACUUUCUUGGGCAAGCGAAGGUUGGUGGUCCCACUGUCCACAAUGCUCUUGUCGUAGUUGUACUGAGGAGAGAGGGGGGGAGAGGUGGGAGGGGUGAAUCUGACAGCUAAGCAUCCUACUGGGGUUGGCAUCUUAGCUUUCCCAUUUUGUAUAUGUGCGUCCUUGGGCACGUUGCUUAACCUCUGUGUACCUGUUCUCUUGUUCUAAAUUGAAGAUAAUAACAGUGCCUACCUCAAAGGUUACCAUAAGGAUUACAUAGGUCAAAAGGCUGAAAGCACUAAGUAGGUCCUGGCAGAUCCCAGGCACUUGGUAAGUACUAACUUCGUCACCUUGUGCGGGUAGGUGUUCUCUAAAUCUAAAGCAGAAAUGCCUUGUGUGGUAUUUGUAACUUCUAGUACUUUUAUGUAGUUAUUCUCAUUCACCAUACAUUAUAAUGGAGAGAAGGGUGGCUCAGCACGCACAAAGCCAUGAGCUUGAGCUCUGAUGCUGCAUGGUGGUAUAUGCCUGUAGAGAGACACUUGAGAGUCAGAGAAAGGAGGACCAGGAGUUCAAGGUCAUCUUUAGCUACCUAGCAAGUCUGAGGUCAGCGUGGGCUACAUAAGAUCCUCAAAAAAGCCAAAAAAGGGGGCUGUUGAGAUAGGUAAGGGCACCUGCUACCAAGUCUGAUGACCUGAGUUCAACCCCAGAGAGACCUACUAGUUACUGAAAAUUGUCCUCUAACCUCCAUACACAAGCUGUGGCACAUGCCCCAUCCUCAUCCCAAUAAAUGUAAAACAAAAUCUAGGGAAAGAGACCCUAAGUGUUGGCAUUUGGGUAUGCCAAGCAUAACGACUAACACUUCAUACAUUGGCUUUGACCUUUACAGUCUGUGAGAACGCUUGUGUAUUUCUACCUCUGCCUUGUAGAUGAGGAGUCUGGCACUGUAGUGAGGAGCCUGAGGGCACUUAGUAACAGCAGGACUCUAGUCAGGUCCAACCUCUGCCUCACAAAAGCCUUGCCCAAGGCUGAAGAGGCAGUGACUAGAGUCCAGAAAGGAACUCUUUCAUGUUUUCAUUACUAUACUUAAGUCAUGUGGUCCAGGCUCUGUGACUGCUCUGCCAGGCCCCGCCCUUCACCUUAGGGAUUGCCUCGUGAUCCUGUGCUUCCACCCUCAUGGCUCUCACACACUGUGAGACUCCCCUUAUGCUCACGAGAAUCCCCUCCAUCCCAUUACCUCCUUGCAGUCCAUCUUGAGAUCUUGACCAUUGAUUUCCACACGUACAAUGAUCACUUCAUAAUACCACUCCCGCCGGAUGGGUGUGUACCAGAGACUGCCCGUGUAUAGCGAGUGGUCGAUACCACCAAUGAUCUAAAAGAAAAAGAGACAGACACCUAUGUCCUAGCACAGAAGGAGAGCAAGUUACCCAAGACUAAAUAAUAAGAUCAGCCAUUUCUUGGGGUGCCAAGAUUCUCUCUAAUCUCCCAUCAUGCCCCAUGCAUGGUAAUAUUUAGUUUCCUAAAUGUGUUCAGGAGAAGAAACACAUCGGGAUUAUUUGUAUCAAAAUCUAUAGCCCUUGACCGAAAGUUAUUUAAGCCUAAGCUAGUACAAUAAACGUGGAAUGAACUGAUUGUAUGCUGCUUUCAUACAUUUUCUUGUCUUUGCUUGUUGGAGAAUACUUGUUACUGUCCUAAUUAAUAAAUGGGCUUGAACUGAAAAAAAAAAAAA
This 2025-nucleotide non-coding RNA is filed under the name Mus musculus (house mouse). Lineage: Eukaryota; Metazoa; Chordata; Mammalia; Rodentia; Muridae. The record is from RNAcentral.